UAAAAAGCCAAGCACAAAGAGUUUUCAGACAAAAAGGCAUAGCAAGCAACUGUCAAAACACAGUGCCAUGUUGAAUAUUGUCAGCUUCCUUCCAUCUGCUGUCUCAAAAACCUAGCUUCUCUCUUGCAUUCCAGGGAUGCUGACGGAGGAGGAGAGCCAGAUUCUGGCACAAAGUGUUUCUCCUAAAGAAAAAAAAAUGACUCUGGAUAAUGUAACAUCAGCUACUCGAAGAAGACAGUGGGCAGACACUGAAGCUUUUAGUUCACACCAGGGUAGCAGAAGUCAGCUUGCUUCUUGCUUCCUUUAAGUGAUUGGCUUUGGUGAACGCAAUAGUUGUUCGGGUACACAGGAAUCUGCUUAAUCUUUCAAAUGCUGGUCAUGCUCCCCAGGUAAUGAUCCAACACAUGCUUAUGUUGCUGCCUCCCAAAUUAGUGCACACAGGGUUGUACAAAGUCAGGUUCAGGAGGGAGUUGAUGCUCCAGCAGGGAGCUGGUCCCUAGACACAGAGGCCAGCACUCUUAAUUGAUAAUGAACAGACAGGAGGAAAAUGGGAACCCUGAGAUCUAGUGGAAGAAGUAAGAUAAUUUACUCAAUUUGUUUUCCUGGAAAUGAAGACUUUAUGUCA
This 625-nucleotide long non-coding RNA is filed under the name Homo sapiens (human). RNAcentral's name for it is "HSALNT0330869". Lineage: Eukaryota; Metazoa; Chordata; Mammalia; Primates; Hominidae. The record is from RNAcentral.